CACAUGCUUGAGUGGAUGUGUUUAAUGUGAGCCAGGGAAGAGCUGUUCUCCUCCCCAGGGUGCUUCAUCCUUAUUUUCCCACUGAGAUUGUGCAUAUGUACAGCACUGACUUUUCAGAGAAGCUGAACCAAUGGGAGCUGUAAAACUGCAACUUAUGUUCCAGCCCAUAUGUACUUUGGCUUUGUGGUAGAGAAAGAAAAAAUAUCCCUUCUAUGAUCUGCUGCUGUGGUCCAGGAGACUCCCAGAUGAGAGGGAAGGAGAGACCCAGUUGCUCUUCACCAUGAACAGCUCAGAGCUCAGUUCAGCCCUGAGAGAGGCUGCAGAGAUGCCUCCAGCUCAGUUGCAGGGGAAUGCCUGGGAACAUGAUCCUGAUGCAUUACAAGGCUCAGAAACCAGAUGCCAAAUGAGUACCCAAACCAUGGUGCCAUUUUUGGGUAUCCAAAGCUUUAAGGUAAUCUAAGGAUGCUCUGAGUCUUCACCCACGUUUUCUGAGUGUGGAAGGGCUCAGCAGAAAGCAAAGCUUCACAUUUCAUGAAGGCAAAUAAAGCCUUCAGGGGUGCCAAUAUUCUCCAUCUCCCCUCUCUUGCUUGCUUGUUUCUGAUUUUCUUCCUGCCUGUGCUUUGCCUUCCACAUUGUGAGUACCCACAUUCCUCACAGUGUAAAAAAAAACCCAAAAAAACCACAAAUAAAUCUUUGCUUGAACAAGUAGUUUUAAAUCAAAAUUUUACAUACAAGUAAUGUCAAGGCUUUAAACUCUCCCAUCUGUUGUUACAUGCUUGUAGAGUGCACUUUGCUGGGGGAUACAGCUCAUGGCUCUCAGGACUACUGUAACACAACAGCCACCACAGCUACAGAUGCUUCUACUACCAAUAAAACAGAAUUGUUAAGUAGA
Oenanthe melanoleuca is the source of this 892-nucleotide long non-coding RNA. RefSeq lists it as uncharacterized. Lineage: Eukaryota; Metazoa; Chordata; Aves; Passeriformes; Muscicapidae. The transcript has 3 exons. The record is from RefSeq and is a predicted model, not a curated record.